RNAcentral lists this long non-coding RNA (530 nucleotides) under Setaria viridis. RNAcentral's name for it is "long non-coding RNA (SVIR_LNC001358)". The record is from RNAcentral. Lineage: Eukaryota; Viridiplantae; Streptophyta; Magnoliopsida; Poales; Poaceae.
GAGUGGCUACCGGUUCGCGGAUGAAGGCCCGAGGUUAAGCAAUGGGUGGUGUGAGAAACGUGAUCACAUAGAGGAAUCCAAUUGGGACACGUGUACCUUAAUGACCUUUAUAUACGGCAUAUUCCUAGAAUGUAGUGGUUAAGUAAGGGUAUUUCCGAAAUAUAAAAUAGGCUAACUCCUAGGAGCCUUCCCCCGUUGUAAAGAGUGAUGACUUUUUGAAUGGAAAAGUAGAGCCUUCCCCCAUUGUAAAGAGUGAUGACUUUUUGAAUGGAAAAGUAGAGUGUCCUUUCUUGAGUGAUUCCUUUACUGUUCGGUGGCAAUUUUGUUUGAGACCAACAACGGGUGACACAAUGACCAUUACUAGUAUUUCCUCUGAUCCGGAGGUCUUGUGGAGAUUAGUGAGAUGCAACGUGUGGCUACCAAUAUUUCCGACAUCAUCUCUGACUGCUUUUCGCCACUAUUUCCUACAUCAUCUCUGACUUCUUUUCGCGUAGUGAUUAUAUCAUUAAUUCUCAAAUUGUACUCCCUCC